This 633-nucleotide ribosomal RNA is filed under the name uncultured bacterium. RNAcentral describes it as "bacterial SSU rRNA". It matches the Rfam family "Bacterial small subunit ribosomal RNA", at positions 48 to 726 of the family's 1533-position model. The record is from RNAcentral.
CUAACACAUGCAAGUCGAACGAAGUAGCAAUACUUAGUGGCAGACGGGUGAGUAACAUGUAGGUAUCUACCCUUUGGCCUGGAAUAACACGAGGAAACUUGUGCUAAUACCGGAUAAGUCUUUACAGAGAAAGCUUUAUGCACCAUUGGAUGAGCCUGCACUUGAUUAGUUUGUUGGUGGGGUAAUGGCCUACCAAGACUGUGAUCAAUAGCUGAUUUGAGAGGAUGAUCAGCCACAUUGGGACUGAGACACGGCCCAAACUCCUACGGGAGGCAGCAGUGGGGAAUCUUGCACAAUGGAGGAAACUCUGAUGCAGCGAUGCCGCGUGAGUGAAGAAGGCCCUUGGGUUGUAAAGCUCUUUCGUCGGGGAAGAAAAUGACUGUACCCGAAUAAGAAGGUCCGGCUAACUUCGUGCCAGCAGCCGCGGUAAUACGAAGGGACCUAGCGUAGUUCGGAAUUACUGGGCUUAAAGAGUUCGUAGGUGGUUGAAAAAGUUAGUGGUGAAAUCCCAGAGCUUAACUCUGGAACUGCCAUUAAAACUUUUCAGCUAGAGUAUGAUAGAGGAAAGCAGAAUUUCUAGUGUAGAGGUGAAAUUCGUAGAUAUUAGAAAGAAUACCAAUUGCGAAGGCAGCU